UGGGGAAUAUUGGACAAUGGGCGAAAGCCUGAUCCAGCAAUGCCGCGUGAGUGAUGAAGGCCUUAGGGUUGUAAAGCUCUUUUACCAGGGAUGAUAAUGACAGUACCUGGAGAAUAAGCUCCGGCUAACUCCGUGCCAGCAGCCGCGGUAAUACGAAGGGGGCUAGCGUUGUUCGGAUUUACUGGGCGUAAAGCGCGUGUAGGCGGGUCGUUAAGUUGGGGGUGAAAUCCCGAGGCUCAACCUCGGAACUGCCUUCAAAACUGGCGACCUGGACCUAAGUAGAGGCAAGUGGAAUUGCGAGUGUAGAGGUGAAAUUCGUAGAUAUUCGGAAGAACACCAGUGGCGAAGGCGGCUCACUGGACGUGUAUUGACGCUGAGGUACGAAAGCGUGGGGAGCAAACAGGAUUAGAUACCCCGGUAGUCCCUGAGCGGGCUGGCAAGGCGCAU
RNAcentral lists this ribosomal RNA (447 nucleotides) under uncultured bacterium. RNAcentral describes it as "bacterial SSU rRNA". It matches the Rfam family "Bacterial small subunit ribosomal RNA", at positions 355 to 825 of the family's 1533-position model. The record is from RNAcentral.